GACAGGAGGGUGCAAACGUUUGUUCGGAAUUACUGGGCGUAAAGCGUGUGUAGGCGGCCACGUAAGUCGGAUGUGAAAGCCCCCAGGCUCAACCUGGGAAGUGCACUCGAUACUGCGUGGCUUGAGUAUCGGAGAGGUUGGUGGAAUUCUCGGUGUAGAGGUGAAAUUCGUAGAUAUCGAGAGGAACACCGGUGGCGAAAGGCGGCCAACUGGGACGAAUACUGACGCU
This 229-nucleotide ribosomal RNA is filed under the name uncultured bacterium. RNAcentral describes it as "partial 16S ribosomal RNA". It matches the Rfam family "Bacterial small subunit ribosomal RNA", at positions 522 to 747 of the family's 1533-position model. The record is from RNAcentral.